RNAcentral lists this ribosomal RNA (253 nucleotides) under uncultured bacterium. RNAcentral describes it as "partial 16S ribosomal RNA". It matches the Rfam family "Bacterial small subunit ribosomal RNA", at positions 524 to 776 of the family's 1533-position model. The record is from RNAcentral.
UACGGAGGGUGCAAGCGUUGCUCGGAAUUAUUGGGCGUAAAGGGGAGGUAGGUGGUCUCAUUUGUCGGGGGUGAAAGCCUUGAGCUUAACUCAAGAAGUGCCCCUGAAACGGUGAGACUGGAGUCCCAGAGAGGCUUGUGGAAUUCCCGGUGUAGCGGUGAAAUGCGUAGAGAUCGGGAGGAACACCAGAGGCGAAGGCAGUGUCCUGGGGAGUACCUGACGCUCAGGUGCGAAAGCCAGGGGAGCGAACGGG